UCCAGGAUCAAUUGUUUCCUUCUUCAGAUAAAUCCUUGAUUUGCUGCCCCCUUGCAGGUUAUGAGAUAACAAAGAGUGGCCAGAGCCAUUCCAGCAAAGCCUGCCCCGGGCCAGGGGUGGACACAGGGCCACGUUCCCACUGCACCAGGCUGGCUUUGAGUGUGAAGGAUGUUCAAAGCCGCUACUUCUCCGUCUGUGGCCUUGCUCCAGGCGUGUGGGAGGAAUCCUUCUGCAGAGGCCGGUGUCUCAGGAGAAUCCCUCACCACAAAGGUAAAUAAGGCAGC
Molecule: long non-coding RNA, 284 nt
Filed under: Parus major (Great Tit)
Lineage: Eukaryota; Metazoa; Chordata; Aves; Passeriformes; Paridae
Description: lncRNA (ENSPMJG00000000961.1)
Source: RNAcentral